Molecule: ribosomal RNA, 253 nt
Filed under: uncultured bacterium
Lineage: Bacteria
Description: partial 16S ribosomal RNA
Rfam family: Bacterial small subunit ribosomal RNA
Source: RNAcentral
UACGUAGGGGGCAAGCGUUAUCCGGAUUCAUUGGGCGUAAAGAGCGCGUAGGCGGACUGUUAAGUCAGAUGUGAAAACCGGGGGCUCAACCCGCGGCCUGCAUCUGAAACUGGCAGUCUUGAGUCUGGUAGAGGAAAGUGGAAUUCCUGGUGUAGCGGUGAAAUGCGCAGAUAUCAGGAGGAACACCAGUGGCGAAGGCGGCUUUCUGGGCCACGACUGACGCUGAGGCGCGAAAGCUAGGGGAGCGAACAGG